GUGGCCACGGUCACCGGCUCCAUCCUUCCUCCACAGUGUGAGGGACCUGGCAGUGGUGAGAGAGGAGGUGUCGGCGCGGAUGACUUAGGGCCGCAGAAAGCACGUCACCCUCCCACGGACUGAAUAUGAUCAAGCUUAAAAACCUUCAAGGAAAAGCCACUAAAAAAAGGAAUUAACCUCACCUCAGAUGAGAUUGUCAACUCUAUGCAAAUUGGGAAACACUGUGUGCAUAAGGGAGAUUGAAAAAGGAAAGUAAGUGUUGGAUUUCUUGGGACUGAGAAGACAAGUAUUAUUGAAGCUACGAGGAACAGAUACCGGAGCCUGCGCCAACCCCACAUUCCUCAUCUGGCAGCAGUCCUUCGGGUGUGUCUGUUCCCAGAAGGACUGGUGAAGUUGACAUUGUGUGUGGAGCCAUGGCCUUCCGGGAGUCUUGGGAGCUGGUGAUACUAUCUUCUGUAUGGACGAGCUGGGCAGCAGUGGUGUGAGAGACACUGGAGCUCUUCCUUGCAGGAGAGGAAGUAUUAAGGGGUCUUUCCUUCCUUCCUGUUUCCCUCCCUUCCUCUUUCCAUGGAAAAUUUCACACACACACAUAAAAGUAGAACAAAGAUAACAAGGGACUACUGGACAGCCACAAAUUUCUGUUGACCCAGGACAACCAACAGUGCCAGAUGCCACCACCAAGAGCACCAAUAGGUCUUCUUGCUAAUAAACAGCAAGGGGAUUUCAGAGAGUUAAAGGAGUGUGUAUUUGGUGAUGCUGAGACAACAGUUCCAACUACACCAUCCCUCUCAUGGAGUACAGAUAAAAUGCAUUUUCAUUUCUCAUAACUGCUUCAUAUGUCAGCAGUCCUCUUUGUUUCUGUAUGGAUUCAUCCUGACAUGACUGCAGCCAUCUUGAGUCAUAAGCACCAUGAUGUCCCCUGGAAAAAUCCCAGUUAGUUUUUUUUCUGCACAGUUUUCCAGCAAAUAUGAAUAGACAAAAGCAUUACUGUGGUAUGUGGAGCUAUACAACUGUACCCUGGCAUCAGGAAUGUGCCUGUCUCCUUGAUGUUACCUUAGAUAAACCAGGUACAAUUAUGGGUUUGAUGAAGACACUUUGUCCUUACCCAAUUUAUACGCCCCUCCUUACUCAAAUUGUGAGGAUCUACUUGAUCUUGCUGCUGCCCAGGACUAUACUUCCAAAGGUCCCCAAUAAAUUUGUGCAAGGCUGGUUCUGA
Non-coding RNA from Ictidomys tridecemlineatus (thirteen-lined ground squirrel), 1216 nucleotides. Lineage: Eukaryota; Metazoa; Chordata; Mammalia; Rodentia; Sciuridae. The record is from RefSeq and is a predicted model, not a curated record.